RNAcentral lists this long non-coding RNA (204 nucleotides) under Panax ginseng (ginseng). RNAcentral describes it as "long non-coding RNA (PGIN_LNC017705)". Lineage: Eukaryota; Viridiplantae; Streptophyta; Magnoliopsida; Apiales; Araliaceae. The record is from RNAcentral.
CACUAUUGAUCCUGGUCCUAUUUUGUCCUAUGGUCACUAUGGUGUAAGGAGGUAUGGUAGGACUUGCUGGCCAUUCGAUGGCAGCCCGUUUGUCGUUCUACCCCGAGUGGUAGACGAAGGAUCCUAUAUUGAUUUUACCAGGGUGGUAAGUCAAUGGUCACAAUUGGUCCUUAUAUCUUGGUCCUUAUAUUUUGAUCCUUAUAU